RNAcentral lists this ribosomal RNA (461 nucleotides) under uncultured bacterium. RNAcentral's name for it is "bacterial SSU rRNA". It matches the Rfam family "Bacterial small subunit ribosomal RNA", at positions 29 to 507 of the family's 1533-position model. The record is from RNAcentral.
AUUGAACGCUGGCGGAAUGCUUUACACAUGCAAGUCGAGCGGCAGCGCGGGGCGAACCUGGCGGCGAGCGGCGAACGGGUGAGUAAUACAUCGGAACGUGCCCAGACGUGGGGGAUAACUACUCGAAAGAGUGGCUAAUACCGCAUACGAUCUACGGAUGAAAGCGGGGGAUCGCAAGACCUCGCGCGUCUGGAGCGGCUGAUGGCAGAUUAGGUAGUUGGUGGGAUAAAAGCCUACCAAGCCAACGAUCUGUAGCUGGUCUGAGAGGAUGAUCAGCCACACUGGGACUGAGACACGGCCCAGACUCCUACGGGAGGCAGCAGUGGGGAAUUUUGGACAAUGGGCGAAAGCCUGAUCCAGCCAUUCCGCGUGCAGGAUGAAGGCCCUCGGGUUGUAAACUUCUUUGAUGAGGGACGAAGGAAGUGACGGUACCUCAAAAACAAGCCACGGCUAACUACGUG